RNAcentral lists this long non-coding RNA (545 nucleotides) under Homo sapiens (human). Its description in RNAcentral is "non-protein coding lnc-RHOB-17:1". Lineage: Eukaryota; Metazoa; Chordata; Mammalia; Primates; Hominidae. The record is from RNAcentral.
GGCGGGGCGUUUGCAGUGGCCCUUGUGAACUAUGUUUCUGCCGUUACCAGUGUUGGACCCGCCUUCCUCUUUUCCUAGAAAAGGCGCAGAUGCGUGGUCGCAAACUGAUUUCCAAGUCCGUUGUCUGAUGCUGCGAGACACUAUCCGUUUGUUACAGCGAAUUGGGGGCCGAUGACGCUGGAGGUGGAAGAAGCCGCGGUUCUGUUUCUUAAUGGCGAAUUAGCCUGCGGACGUCCUGUCAUUCCCUUGCCUUUUAGCGUCCCAACUUAGCAAAACUCCGCGUUUAGGGUGUUCUGAGUAGGCUUUGUCUACCCUGAAACGCUUUGUGUCGACAUUCCACCAGGUCUGUUCCACGGUCCAAACUUCUCUACCUUUUUUGACCCUCUAGAAUUGUGUUACGAUUAGUAGUAUAUUGUGUCGAGAGUCUGGGAUCUUUGAUGUUAGUUAUAUUCCCUGGCUGUUUAUGCCAAAGGGAAAUCCAAAUAGUAAUUUAUUACGUACAUUACGUAUAAUUCAAAUUAAAAUUUUGUAAGAACAGUUGCCAA